GGUCUGGCUGGCCGGUCUGCCUCACCGCAUGCACUGGUUCGGUCGGAUCUUUCCUUCUGGGGAAUCCCAUGCCCUUCACUGGGCGUGUGGGGGAACCAGGACUUUUACUUUGAAAAAAUUAGAGUGUUCAAAGCAGGCCUUUGCUCGAAUACAUUAGCAUGGAAUAAUGGAAUAGGACGU
RNAcentral lists this ribosomal RNA (180 nucleotides) under uncultured Glomeromycotina. RNAcentral's name for it is "partial small subunit ribosomal RNA". The stretch from base 88 to 180 matches the Rfam family "Eukaryotic small subunit ribosomal RNA", at positions 735 to 830 of the family's 1831-position model. Lineage: Eukaryota; Fungi; Glomeromycota. The record is from RNAcentral.